RNAcentral lists this ribosomal RNA (2441 nucleotides) under uncultured Lachnospiraceae bacterium. RNAcentral describes it as "bacterial LSU rRNA". It matches the Rfam family "Bacterial large subunit ribosomal RNA", at positions 14 to 2494 of the family's 2925-position model. Lineage: Bacteria; Bacillati; Bacillota; Clostridia; Lachnospirales; Lachnospiraceae. The record is from RNAcentral.
AGAGCGUAGGGUGGAUGCCUAGGCACUGAGAGCCGAUGAAAGACGUGAUAAGCUGCGAAAAGCUUCGGGGAGGAGCACAUAUCCUGUGAUCCGGAGAUAUCUGAAUGGGGAAACCCCGCUGAGCAUACCUCAGCGAUCCGUACAUGAAUCCAUAGUGUGCGGAAGGGAACCCGGGGAACUGAAACAUCUAAGUACCCGGAGGAAGAGAAAGAUAGUAUCGAUUUCCAAAGUAGCGGCGAGCGAAAUGGGAAGAGCCCAAACCGGUGUGCGUGCACACCGGGGUUGCGGACCUGCGAACGUACUGUGAGCGCUAGUGGAACGGUUUUGGAAAAGCCGGCAAAAAGGGUGAAAGCCCCGUACACGAAAGCGCAGGCAGACAGGCAGGAAUCCAGAGUACCGCGAGACACGUGGAACCUUGCGGGAAGCAGGGGGGACCACCUCCCAAGGCUGAAUACUCCUCAGUGACCGAUAGUGCACAGUACUGUGAAGGAACGGUGAAAAGGACCCCGGGAGGGGAGUGAAAAAGAACCUGAAACCCUAUGUUUACAAUCGGUGGGAGGGCGCAAGCCCAACCGCAUACUUUUUGUAGAACGGUCCGGCGAGUUGCCGGUACUGGCAAGGUUAAGCGCGGAAAGCGCGGAGCCGGAGGGAAACCAAGUCUCAAAUGGGCGCAAGUCAGUACAGGCAGACCCGAAACCGGGUGAUCUACCCAUGGCCAGGAUGAAGCGGGAGUAAAAUCCCGUGGAGGUCCGAACGCACAUCCGUUGAAAAGGGUGGCGAUGAGCGGUGGGUAGGGGAGAAAUUCCAAUCGAACCCGGAGAUAGCUGGUUCUCCCCGAAACAGCUUUAGGGCUGGCCUCGUGAUAGUCUGCCGGAGGUAGGGCACUGAAUUUCCGAGGGGGCGUCAAAGCCUGCCAAAGAAUAUCAAACCGUAAAUGCCGGCCAGAUGUUUCACGGGAGUCAGACGGCACGAGAUAAAUUGGGUCGUCAAAAGGGAAAAAGCCCAGACCUGCAGCUAAGGUCCCAAAGUGCAUGUUAAGUGGUAAAGGAUGUGGGAUCUCGAAGACAACUAGGACGUUGGCUCAGAAGCAGCCAUACAUUCAAAGAGUGCGUAAUAGCUCACUAGUCGAGAGGCCCUGCGCCGAAAAUGACCGGGGCUCAAACAUGCCGCCGAAGCUCAGGAAUCAGAAAUGAUUGGUAGGGGAGCAUUGCUGGCGCGCCGAAGCGGAUUCGUAAGGAACCGUGGAGUGCCAGGAAGAGAGAAUGCCGGAAUGAGUAGCGAGAAUAAGGUGAGAAUCCUUAUGGCCGAAUAUCCAAGGAUUCCAGGGUAAAGCUGAUCUGCCCUGGGAAAGUCGGGGCCUAAGACGAGGCCGAAAGGCGUAGCCGAUGGACAGCAGGUGGAGAUUCCUGCACCCCGUGCAGACAGAACUGUGGGGACACAGGAGGCGAAGGCAGAGCCGGGAAUGAGAAGACCGGUGCAAGCGGAGGAGGCGUACGGUAAGAAAACCUGCCGUGCAAGCCAAAACCGUCAUGCGGAGCGAAAUCCAGUAGCGAAGCUGCCGAGCAGCCUGUCAAGAAAAGCCGCUAUUGUUCUGUACGGGCCCGUACCGUAAACCGACACAGGUGGAUGAGGAGAGAAUCCCAAGGCCGACGGAAGAAGUAUUGUUAAGGAACUCGGCAAAAUGACCCCGUAACUUCGGGAGAAGGGGUGCCUGGGAAACCAGGCCGCAGAGAAAAGGCCCAAGCAACUGUUUAGCAAAAACACAGGUCUAUGCAAAACCGAAAGGUGAGGUAUAUGGGCUGACGCCUGCCCGGUGCUGGAAGGUCAAGGGGAGUGGUCAGGAAACGAAGCCACGAACUUAAGCCCCAGUAAACGGCGGCCGUAACUAUAACGGUCCUAAGGUAGCGAAAUUCCUUGUCGGGUAAGUUCCGACCCGCACGAAAGGCGUAAUGAUUUGGGCGCUGUCUCGACAAUACAUCCGGUGAAAUUGAAGUGCCAGUGAAGAUGCUGGCUGCCCGCGCCAGGACGGAAAGACCCCAUGGAGCUUUACUCCAGCCUGAUACUGGGAUCCGGUAGUUCACGUACAGGAUAGGUGGGAGGCAGAGAAGCAGGGACGUCAGUUUCUGCGGAGCCGCUGUUGGGAUACCACCCCUGAGUUACUGGAUUUCUAACAAGUGAGUCUGAAACGAGUCAUUGGACACUGUCAGGCGGGGAGUUUGACUGGGGCGGUCGCCUCCGAAAGAGUAUCGGAGGCGCCCAAAGGUUCCCUCAGAAUGGUCGGAAACCAUUCGAAGAGUGCAAAGGCAGAAGGGAGCCUGACUGCGACACCGACGGGUGGAGCAGAUACGAAAGUAGGGCUUAGUGAUCCGGUGGCAGUAAGUGGGAAUGCCAUCGCUCAACGGAUAAAAGCUACCCUGGGGAUAACAGGCUGAUCACUCCCA